GAUUUGGACAUCAUAUUAAAUAUAAGCAGAAUGUGCGUGUCCACAAACUGAAGAGCUAACUGAGGUUAGAAAAAAUUACUAAAAAUUAAAAAGCAUAUUAUUAUACAAUGUUGGACAUCACAAUCUAAUGUCUACAAAUCAUUUCUCUUAUAUAGUUGAUGUUAGGAGAGCAUUAGCUUUAAACAUUAUAGGCCUAAAUUAUAAAAUGACAAUCAUAAUCUAUUGCUUAUAUGCAAGGGGGUGAAUAUGGUUAUAAUUCUCAUGAUUUUAUUUCUUUUCCAAUUUCAUAUUGCAAUAAACGAAGAAGUGGAUAUUGAAUGUAAGAAUGAUUCCAAUUGUCCAACAAGUAUGUGCCUGCAGCCAGGAACUUUUCCGUUGUGCGAUUUAAGCGUGUGUAUAUGUGUUAUAUGGAUUCACCAAAACAUUCAUCUUUGAAUACCAAACACAAGAAAAGACUACACAAACUACUUGCACUCAAGUUUUAGCAAAAGAUCUAUGUAAUAACCCUUCUACUAUAAUAUUUCAUGAGUUCUCAUUAAAUUAUUAUGUUGGCAACCAAUAAUUCGAUUUUUUUUUAAUUAUUUUUCUUUUCUUAAUUUUACAGGUCAUAUAGUUUUGUACUCUGUUAAAGUAUUAGAAUAAAUCAAGUUUGAUUUUAUGGCAA
Long non-coding RNA from Cicer arietinum (chickpea), 664 nucleotides. RefSeq lists it as uncharacterized. Lineage: Eukaryota; Viridiplantae; Streptophyta; Magnoliopsida; Fabales; Fabaceae. The record is from RefSeq and is a predicted model, not a curated record.